GUAAAGCUCUGUUGUAUAGGCAGAACACACCUCCUAGUUGAAUCGCCUCGCCACCUUGACGUUACCCUAACCAGAAAGCCCCGGCUAACUCCGUGCCCAGCAGCCGCGGUAAUACGUAGGUGGCCAAGCGUUAUCCGGAAUUAUUGGGCGUAAAGCGCGCGCAGGUGGUUUUUUAAGUCUGAUGUGAAAUCCCCCGGCUCAACCGGGGAGGGUCAUUGGAAACUGGGAGACUAGAGUGCAGAAGAGGAAGGUGGAAUUCCAUGUGUAGCGGUGAAAUGCGUAGAGAUAUGGAGGAACACCAGUGGCGAAGGCGUCUUUCUUGGUCUGAAACUGACACUGAGGGCGCGAAAGCGUGGGGAGCAAACAGGAUUAGAUACCCUGGUAGUCCACGCCGUAAACGAUGAGUGCUAAGUGUUAGAGGGUUUCCGCCCUUUAGUGCUGAAGUUAACGCAUAAAGCGCUCCCCUGGGGGAGUACGGCCCCAAGGUUAAAACUCAAAGGAAUUGAGGGGGGCCCCCACAAGGGGUGGAGCAUGGGGUUAAAUUGGAAGAAACGGAAAGACCUUUCCCAGGUCUUGACUUCCUGUAACAACCCAAGAGAUAGGUGUUCCCUUUGGGGAGCAGAGUGACAGGUGGUCCAUGGUGUUCGUCAGCUCGUUUCGUGAGAUGUUGGGUUAAGUCCCGCAAGGAGCGCAACCCUUGAUUUUAGUUGCCAUCAUUUAGUUGGGCACUCUAAGGUGACUGCCGGUGACAAACCGGAGGAAGGUGGGGAUGACGUCAAAUCAUCAUGCCCCUUAUGACC
This 800-nucleotide ribosomal RNA is filed under the name Bacillus cereus. Its description in RNAcentral is "bacterial SSU rRNA". It matches the Rfam family "Bacterial small subunit ribosomal RNA", at positions 425 to 1209 of the family's 1533-position model. The record is from RNAcentral. Lineage: Bacteria; Bacillati; Bacillota; Bacilli; Caryophanales; Bacillaceae.